Molecule: ribosomal RNA, 441 nt
Filed under: uncultured bacterium
Lineage: Bacteria
Description: partial 16S ribosomal RNA
Rfam family: Bacterial small subunit ribosomal RNA
Source: RNAcentral
CCUACGGGCGGCAGCAGUGGGGGAUAUUGCACAAUGGGGGGAACCCUGAUGCAGCGACGCCGCGUGGGUGAAGGAGUGCUUCGGCAUGUAAAGCCCUAUUGGCAGGGAAGAAGCAAGACGGUACUUGACUAAGAAGCUCCGGCUAACUACGUGCAAGCAGCCGCGGUAAUACGGAGGGGGCGAGCGUUAUCCGGAUGCACUGGGUGUAAAGGGUGCGUAGACGGCUAAGCAAGACAGGGGUGAAAGCCCGGGGCCCAACCCCCGGACUGCCAUUGGAACUGGAUGGCUUGAGUGCGGGAGGGGCAGGCGGAAUUCCUGGUGUAGCGGUGAAAUGCGUAGAUAUCAGGAGGAACACCGACGGCGAAGGCAGCCUGCUGGACCGCGACUGACAUUGAGGCUCGAAAGCGUGGGGAGCGAACAGGAUUAGAUACCCCUGUAGUC